ACCUCAUCCAGAGGGGCAGAGGGAACGGCCCGUUGAAGCCCCGGCAACCACCGCGCGUGUCUCGAUGACGAGGCCCACCCGCUCGGCAGGUGCUAAUUCCGUCCCCGUUCCGGCAGGUCGCCGCGGGGAAAGAUGAGAG
Molecule: non-coding RNA, 139 nt
Filed under: Actinoplanes missouriensis
Lineage: Bacteria; Bacillati; Actinomycetota; Actinomycetes; Micromonosporales; Micromonosporaceae
Also listed under: 1 other name
Description: SAM-I sequence
Rfam family: SAM riboswitch aptamer (S box leader)
About the family: The SAM riboswitch is found upstream of a number of genes which code for proteins involved in methionine or cysteine biosynthesis in Gram-positive bacteria. The SAM riboswitch acts at the level of transcription termination control.
Source: RNAcentral